RNAcentral lists this transfer RNA (33 nucleotides) under Cnemaspis chanardi. RNAcentral's name for it is "tRNA-Cys". Lineage: Eukaryota; Metazoa; Chordata; Lepidosauria; Squamata; Gekkonidae. The record is from RNAcentral.
CGCUUCUCCCGUCUGAGGGAAAAAACGGGAGAA